CCUACGGGAGGCAGCAGUAGGGAAUAUUGCUCAAUGGGGGAAACCCUGAAGCAGCAACGCCGCGUGGAGGAUGAAGGUUUUCGGAUUGUAAACUCCUUUUGUUAGAGAAGAUAAUGACGGUAUCUAACGAAUAAGCACCGGCUAACUCCGUGCCAGCAGCCGCGGUAAUACGGAGGGUGCAAGCGUUACUCGGAAUCACUUGGCGGAAAGAGCGCGGAGGCGGGAUAGCAAGUCAGAUGUGAAAUCCUAUGGCUUAACCAUAGAACUGCAUUUGAAACUGUUAUUCUAGAGUAUGGGAGAGGUAGGUGGAAUUCUUGGUGUAGGGGUAAAAUCCGUAGAGAUCAAGAGGAAUACUCAUUGCGAAGGCGACCUGCUAGAACAUAACUGACGCUGAUGCGCGAAAGCGUGGGGAGCAAACAGGAUUAGAUACCCGGGUAGUC
Molecule: ribosomal RNA, 440 nt
Filed under: uncultured bacterium
Lineage: Bacteria
Description: partial 16S ribosomal RNA
Rfam family: Bacterial small subunit ribosomal RNA
Source: RNAcentral